RNAcentral lists this ribosomal RNA (119 nucleotides) under Neogale vison (American mink). The record is from RNAcentral. Lineage: Eukaryota; Metazoa; Chordata; Mammalia; Carnivora; Mustelidae.
GAGAAUAAUGAAAACUCCCUGAAUGCGCCCGAUCUCGUCUGAUCUCGGAAGCUAAGCAGGGUCGGGCCUGGUUAGUACUUGGAUGGGAGAAUAAUGAAAACAGUAAGGUAUCAUCUUGC